This 77-nucleotide transfer RNA is filed under the name Klebsiella aerogenes. RNAcentral describes it as "tRNA-Val". Lineage: Bacteria; Pseudomonadati; Pseudomonadota; Gammaproteobacteria; Enterobacterales; Enterobacteriaceae. The record is from RNAcentral.
GCGUCCGUAGCUCAGUUGGUUAGAGCACCACCUUGACAUGGUGGGGUUCGGUGGUUCGAGGCCACUCGGCCGCACCA